AUAUUCUUCUUAUACCAUAUCCUGCUUGGUCGCAUGUCAUUUAUAUGCACCCACUCACCAAAAGGUGGCAGCAUCCAUAAGCGCCUUCUAUCAUUUCAAUCAGUUUUUGUGAUCCUCGGGAUAUCAUCACAAUUCCUCUGCAAUCUCUAUGGCAUAAUUCUCUCCAACUAUGGAAGAAUAGGAUUGUUUACUGAUUUGAAGUGGUAAGGAUUUGGGUGUUCGGAAUUUUUCUAAAUGGCUAGCAAUCAUCAACCACAGAGGAAUUCUGCAGUACCACGUAAAUCAGAUGUAUUUUGCAUACGCACCCAACUCAAGCUAAGGUCUGAAAAUUUCAAACAAAAUGGUACCAGAAAUCGAGGACUUCUGAUAAUGAAUUAGAACCUGCAGAUGUCCAAAUUUCCUCUGAAAAAUUGGUUUGAAGCAAAGGAAGCAUAAUUUCGUUAUGGACAGCCUUAAUUCUGAAUUGGGUGUUAAAGAUGGGAAGAUUCACAUAAACCAGAAGUUGAAGACAAUUGAUCCUAACGUUCCCUGCAAUUCAUUCAAUGCAGCCAUAUCAAACAAGAGGAAAGGGAAAUCCCUGGUGGAAGAGGAGACUAGUAGUUCGGUUGAGAGCAAUUGGCCUUCUUGCAAGAAGAUGAAGUCUGCAUCUAAUUCUUCUCAGUUCUGUAUUGAGGGUAAGCCCACAUACAGCAGGGGCCACUCUGAAUCUCCUUCCUCAGGGUUGUGUGAAGGGGGUCGUCAUGUGGCUCCUGCCCUGCACCUGAUGGUGAAUACUGAUUUCAUAGUGACUUCUCCCCUGAAGCAAGACUUGAUGCUGACACUGGCUUUGAUUCACAGAGAGAGAGAUUUGGAGAAAUUGAUAUUUGUGGGUUAUUUUAGAGCUUUCCUGUCCUUCAGGAAUUUUGGGUUGGGACCUGAUGCCUUGCGUAUUCGAACAGAAUCCAAUGCAGGAGGAACUUCAACUAUAUCAGAGGCAUUGUCAGUGGAGUAUUUUGUGAGAAGAUUCCAAGCCAAAGAGAUUGUGACAGAAAUGGAGGUUGAAUAUAGCCAUCUUAAUUGGAAGAAAGUUGAUUAUAUCUGCACGUUAAAUGGUCAAAGAGUUGGUGUUUCUGUCACUCGAGCCAUGUCUUAUCCAGAUCCAGAUCAUUUUUCUCCAGAUAUGGCUAACAGACUGCUUCAUAAGAAGCUAUUUGGUUUGGUUGUGGCCAGAGAUGGAGUGGCUGAUAGGCACUGCUUUUCUCAAUGCAUUCUUCAUGUCUGGUGUGAAACAGAGAGAACUGCAAAGCUUCUUCAAGCAGAAUAUGCAGGAAUUUGAGAAUCAGGGGCUACCCCUGUUCAGGAAACUUGAUCUGAAUACCUUGCUGAAGCUUUUUUGAGGAUGUUUCUCAAGAACUGGAAGUCACGGAUGAUGUCAUUAUGGUGCUAACUGUUGCAGAUGGAUUACAUGCGAAGCCCAUAUUUUAUGAGUAUUGUUUGAAUUGAUAAAGCAUAUUGGUAUUAGUGCCCACCCGAUCACAUUGUGAGUUAAGGUUGCAGAUGGAUUACAUGCGAAGCCCAUAUUUUAUGAGUAUUGUUUGAAUUGAUAAAACAUAUUGAGUCAAGGUUGCAGCCAAUCCUCUCAAGUCUUAUCUAUUUAUUGUAUAUAGCUACCAACAUUUCAAAUAUACAGGCCAAGGAUCUAUAAAGAAAUUGUACAGUCUACGAAGAAAUUGUACAUAGUAUAUAUCUGUAUUCAAUCAGGAUCAUAAUAAUAUUUGUAAUCAAAUAUGUUGCAAAGUUAUUAUGAUAUGGGUCCCUCUCUUGAAAUUUAUGUAGAUUCCAGAUUGUGCAUAUCUAACAGUGAGCACUUUCUCUGGUAAGGUCGGUAAAAACUAUGCUUUAAGGGCAAGUUACUUUUAUUUCAGAUGCACAUGGAGGACACCUAUGUAAGGAUAAAGAGAAAUGGCAGUGGAAGACGGUCAAUAUGCUUUAAAGGCGACGAAGUUAAUAUGCUCUA
Cryptomeria japonica (Japanese cedar) is the source of this 1996-nucleotide RNA transcript. RefSeq lists it as uncharacterized. The transcript has 6 exons. The record is from RefSeq and is a predicted model, not a curated record. Lineage: Eukaryota; Viridiplantae; Streptophyta; Pinopsida; Cupressales; Cupressaceae.